CAGGCCUAACACAUGCAAGUCGAGCGGAGAUGAGGUGCUUGCACCUUAUCUUAGCGGCGGACGGGUGAGUAAUGCUUAGGAAUCUGCCAAUUAGUGGGGGACAACAUUUCGAAAGGAAUGCUAAUACCGCAUACGCCCUACGGGGGAAAGCAGGGGAUCUUCGGACCUUGCGCUAAUAGAUGAGCCUAAGUCGGAUUAGCUAGUUGGUGGGGUAAAGGCCUACCAAGGCGACGAUCUGUAGCGGGUCUGAGAGGAUGAUCCGCCACACUGGGACUGAGACACGGCCCAGACUCCUACGGGAGGCAGCAGUGGGGAAUAUUGGACAAUGGGGGGAACCCUGAUCCAGCCAUGCCGCGUGUGUGAAGAAGGCCUUUUGGUUGUAAAGCACUUUAAGCGAGGAGGAGGAGCUCUAGAUUAAUACUCUAGAUGCUUGGACGUUACUCGCAGAAUAAGCACCGGCUAACUCUGUGCCAGCAGCCGCGGUAAUACG
This 490-nucleotide ribosomal RNA is filed under the name uncultured bacterium. RNAcentral's name for it is "bacterial SSU rRNA". It matches the Rfam family "Bacterial small subunit ribosomal RNA", at positions 43 to 527 of the family's 1533-position model. The record is from RNAcentral.